CGCUCCAGCGCCCUCACUCCUGGCUCCCGACCCUGGGGCCUGAAAGCCUUCCAGCCUCCGCCCCCUUUCCUCCACUUCCGGCGUCUCUUAGCAACGGGAGGAGGCGGGAGCCUGGGAUGCGCACCCGUCUUUGGGUCGCUUGGUUAACCCUUGGUGGGUACAGAAGAGUGGGACUCCAGGGGGGAAGCUCUCCCUGUAUUCUCGGGGGGUCGCCCUCGCCAGGAGGCCACGGGGAGUCUCUGAGCAUCUCCUCACCAUUCCAUCCCAUCAGCCUCAGAAAGCAGACCGCAGGCUUUCCCUCCCACCCCACCCCAUCCCUCCUCCUAGAAAUCUCGGACUCCUCUUCCCACCUGUGCUUUCAACGCCUCAGAGGCCAAAGAGUCGCAAGAACUCAUCCCACCCAUUUUAUCGGAAAGGAGACUGAGGCCCACCCAGGGAAAGUGACUUGCCCGGAGCAGGCAUACGCCUGCCAGAGGCAGGAUUAAACCCCCAAAUCCUUAGCCAAACCGAAUAGCUUUUCCUUAUAGAUUUUCUAUGAAAAUCUCCAUCCCUUUGGUACCAAAUGGGCUAAAAUCCCAUAGCCUGGGAAAUGGGGGAAAUCCCCUAAAUGCGUUCUUUAGCCUUAAUCCCCUCGGGACUGGCUGACUUCAAAGCAGCAGCCUUAGGCUGGGGAUACCUGGCAUCCCAAAGCAGCUCCGACAUCCUCCUGAAGAACAGCAGCUAAUAUUUCUAUAUAGUACUUCCUCUGUGCCAGGAGCCAUGCUGAGAGCUUUACUCAUUUUGUCCUUAAAGCAACCCUGAGAGGAAGGUCCUAUUAUUAUUAUCCCUGUUUUCCAGAUGAGGAAACUGAAGCAAAUAGGUUACCGGGCUUGCUCAGGGCUCAUACAGUUAGUGUCUCAGGCUAGAUUUUGUCUUCCCUGAACUCCUUAUUCUUCCUGCUAUCACUUCUCUGCUUCCCUCCAGGUCUUUUCUUCAUGGAUUCAGCAUUGAAAACUUUCAUAAAACAACUUUGCUCAUUCUGAACUUCCUUCCUCAAAGGGCUGCUAAUGUGAUAAAAUUAGAUUCUUUAUGAAAGCACUCUUGAAAGUCAAGAAGUUCUUUUAAAAAAUGCAAGACAAACUGACUGUCAUCACUGUCACAGAGAGGGGUCAUAAAGUUUCACCUGAUUCUCAUACUCCCUUGAAUUACAACUCUAAUGGAUUUUUAAAAAGGUUUUCAAGACAUCACUCUCUCCUGGUUCUCCUCUGACCACUGCUCCUCGGUUUCCUUUCCUGCAUCCUUUUCCAGAUCAUGUCCUCUAACGGAAGAUAUCCCUCAGGGUCAUCGCAUGACUUUUAUUUUCUCUUUCUAAACUAUUUCAUUUGGUGAUCUCAGCAACUUUCAUGGAUUUAAUUGCUAUCUCUGUGCUAAUGAUCCUCAAAUAUACCUUUACUACACCACUCUCUCCAUUGACCUCCAAUUUCUCAUCACCAACUGCCAUUCAUACAUCUCAAAUUGGAUGUCUAGGAGACACCUUUAAUUCAAUAUAUUCAAAAUGAAACUCAUUAUCUUUCCUCCUAAACCUUCCUGCCCUUUUCUAUGGGCAACACUAUUCUUCUAUUCCUCUCUUAGGCUCACAAUCUAGGAACCCUCUUAGACUCCUCACUCUCCUCAUAUCCUCCUCAUAUCCAAGGGCUAUUGAUUACAUCUUUGCAACAUUUCUGAAAUAUGCCCCCUUCUCCCCUAUGACACUGCCCUCCCUCUCGUAGUCAACCUCAUCAACUCAUAGCUGAUUAUUACAAUAGCCUGCUGAGGGGUCUGCCUGUCCCCAGUCUCUCCCCUUUCCAUUCCAUCCUUUAUUCAACUAUCAAAGUGAUUUUCUUAAAGUGUAGCUCUGGUUAUAUCACCUUCUAUUCAAUAAACUCCAGUGGCUCCCUAUUGCAUCCAGGAGCAAAUACAAAUGAUUCUGUUUGGCAUUCAAAGCCCUUCUUGACCUAUCACCCUCCUACCUUUCCAGUCUGUUUAUACUUUGCUCUCUAUCAUCUAUUCUGAAAUCCAGACACAUUGGGCUCCUUGAUGUUCCCUCAAAGAAAGAUGCUCUAUCUCUUGGCUUUGGGUAUUCUGUCUGGAUGUCUCCCCAUACCUGGAACAUUCUCCCUUCUCCACUCUGGCUACUGCCCUUCCUGAUUUCCUUUAAGU
Long non-coding RNA from Antechinus flavipes (yellow-footed antechinus), 2178 nucleotides. RefSeq lists it as uncharacterized. The record is from RefSeq and is a predicted model, not a curated record. Lineage: Eukaryota; Metazoa; Chordata; Mammalia; Dasyuromorphia; Dasyuridae. The transcript is spliced from 2 exons.